GGGUGGGUGUGUGGGGAACUAGUAAGAGGACGUCUCAAUGCCACGAAAACUGCCUCCCUCUGGAAGAGGGGCAGCCGUCUCCCCAUGUCCUGAGCUGAAGCUGAAGAAGCAGAAGCCCCUCCUAGGUGGACUCCAUCUGACUCCCAUAAAUCCAGACCUUCAGGAGGAACCACUGAAGGACUGAUCACCAGAUGUGAGAAGCUGCUGGCCGCUCAGACCCAAGUGUGUGGUUCCUCAGGGCCAAGAUCAAAGGGCCCAAACCUCCCAGAACUGAGAGGUAAAAGGUCACACUGGAGGAUGUAUUUCUCCCUCUUGCCCUUGGAUACUGGUCCUGGGUGGAAAGCUGUUCUUCUAGGUCCCCAGAGCAGCUGACAGGGGAUUCAGCAGUUACAGCUUCCAGAGACAUCUGCAGGGACCCUUGGACUGGAAGUUACAGACAGGAUAAGAUGGCAUAAGGGGUGCUAAUCUCCUACACAUUUCACAAGUUAGAAACCUGGCUGGAAGCUGAGCAAACUGACUCCUUGGAAGGGGCUGAAGGCGGCUACCAGAGGCUGGAGACAACAGCCUUCAAGGCAGGCAGGCUCAAGUGAACACUCUGGGGAGGAGCAGCGAAUGAAUGAAUCACCCCAAUCUCUCCUCCAAAGAAGGCUCCGGUCAGAUAAUGUGAAGUGCAAGGAACUGUGCUCAUGUGUGGCCCUCUACUGGCCAGGAGGACUCUAACCAGGAAAGGGAGCUCCUGCGGACGCUGCAGCUUCUGACUCUUGAAAGGACUGUACCUACAGAGAAGUGCAGCUCAAGAUCCACUGCUGGAUAGAAGGACUGCUGGAUAGAAGGACUGCUGGAUAGAAGGACUGCUGGAUAGAAGGACUGCUGGAUCAGCCUCUCUGGCUCUUUUGGGGGCAAAGACAAAGCUUUAACUUCUCACCUCAACAUUUGCAGGCAAUUUUCCAAAACAACCCAAUGUCCGGAACCAAUUCCUCCCUGCCAUUUACAGUAACUGCACCAUGGUGGCUGCUAAGGGAAGGAUGUGGGGAAGGGGAAGGGCCGGGAAAGGCCUCACUUACAUCAUAUCUCUUGGCCACCCCGGCAAUUCUUUUAACAAAUAUCCCUCCCAUGCCAACAAUGUGCUCAGUGGUAACACAAUGAGGGGCAAAACGCCACAUGAUUCCUGACCAAGUUAUGUUUACAGAAUAUUAGGGGUCUCAGGAUGUCAUUAAGGAGAUGAUCAAAUAAAUAAAUGUGAAAUUAAAAUCACAAAAAGAAGUUUCAAAGGAAAGGUCUAAGAAAGCACAAAACAAGAGCCAUGACCUAUUCUAUAACUAUUUCUAUGAGACACCCAGGUAAAGAUCUGAAGGAUGAGCAGGAGUUAAUUAGGCCAAAAGAGGGCGAGGGGACAUUCCAGGCAGAGAGAACAGCAUGAACAAAGGCCGUGUCAGAAGGAAGAAGGGUGUGUUCUGGACCCAGCGAGGAGCAGUGAGGCUGAAGUAGAGACGGUGAGAGGCUGUGGGGAGAGGACAGACUAUGGGGACUCUGCAGGCCACAUUAAGGACUUUGGUUUUUAUCUAAGAAUGCUGGAAAGUUGUGGAAGUGUAUAAGAACAGAGAGAUGACACAGUGUGAUGUGGUCAGAAUUUUUCUUUACAGAUCACUCACUCUGGCUGCUCUAUGGAGAAUAUAUUAGAGGGGACAGAGUGAACAUGGACAGUGAGAAGGCUAUUGCAGGCAUCCAUAUGAGAAAAUGGUAGCCUGGAGCAGGGUGGUAUAAGGAGAAAUGGAAAGAAGUGGACACGCUCAAAAUAUUAUCUAGAAACAGAACUAACAGGCUUGGAAGAUGAGAAAAGCAGUAUCAAGGACUCCCAGGUUCUGGCUUGAGCAGUAAGUAGAUGGUGCUGCCCUCCAGUGGGACAGGUUACAAUGAAGGGGAGUCAGUUUUGGGGUGAAGAUUGAAAGUCCAGCUGGGUCUGAGAUGUCUGGAAGACAUUCAAAUGGAAAUGUGAAGUUGACAGUAGGCUAGAUAGGUCUAGAGCUCAGUGGAAAGGUUUGGACUGAAUUUUGGGGUCAUCAGUAUGUGAGGACAACAGAAGCCAGGGUGAGAGUGAGAUUACCUAGGGAGAAAAUAGAGAGUGAAUCUGGAGAAACAUCAACAUUUCACAGCUAGCUAGAGAAGGAUAAGCAAACUAGAAUGACCUGAGAAGCAGAGGAAAACCAGGAUAGUGUGGAAUGUUAUGAAAGCCAAGGGAAGAGAAUGUUUCAACAGUGACAGACACCAAUAAUAAAUGCUAACAUCUAUUAAGUCUUAACUAUGACCAGGUAAUGGCAAAGGCUUUGACUUCAUGAUCAAAUUUAAUCUGCACAACAACCUUUUGAGGUGAGAACCAUUUCCCCUUUUACAGCUGAAGUAACUGUGGUAGAAAAAGAGUAAGCACCUGACUCAAGGUCAGGUGGCUGGUAUAGAAGCUGGAAUAAAAACACAAGCAGCCUGACUCCAAACUCUGAUUCACUUUUCUCUACUUCUUCUAGUGCAGUUUGGGAGGUCAUAUAAGAUGAAGACUGAAGAGUGGCCAUUGGACCACUCUUCUCUAAAGUGGAGCUUUAGAGAACGUUUCAGGGGAGAGACAGAAUGGAAGCCAGUCUAGAGCCCACUAUUAGAAAUGCUCCACAUUAUUACUUGUUUUUCAAUUGUCUGAGGGAGUCAGUUAGGAGGCCAGGGCAGUAUGUCAAAUUUGUUUCCUCAACAGCAUUUAAUUUGAUGCCCUUAAGUAGAUGAUGCUCAAAGUUACAUGUGAAUGGUUGGUUAGACUAAGAAGCACAAUGUUGCUAUGUGCUGCUGCUAACCCUUCACAUUACACCAUUCUAAUGUUUUUGAAGUAUCUUCUCCAUCACCUCCUUGACCCUCACAACUAUGCUAUGAGGUGGAUUACUUUCACCACAUUUUAUUGAUAAAAAACUGAGAUUUAUAGUGGCAAAGGAACUUGCCCACAGUUACACAGCUAUCUUGGCUCAGCUAAGACUCAAAUUCAGGUCUUCUAACUCCAAGUCUACUUUUCUUUCCUGGGAGUCCCAGUGCAAAGAGGACCCUUUGGGGAGUUAGGGAGACCUGAGUUCAAAUGUCAGCUCUGUGUGACCCUGGGCAAGAUACAUCACCUUUCUGAGCCUUCCUGUUUUACUACCAAAUGGGGCUGCAGGAUUAUUGUGAGAGCUGAAUCAGAUAGUCUAAGUGAAACUCACUAAACAAAGCUUAACAGACGUCAGUCAUCCAUCCCUGGCCCCACCCCACCCCUCUUCAUCUCUGCCCUGAAUAGCAGCUAUGGGGCUUCUACAGGGUCUUAGUUCUUUCUUCCUAAAGAACAAGGCAGGAUUAAAGCACACUGCAGGUUACAUAAUGCUGAUACAUACCAGGAGUCUUAGUUUAUGUUCACGCUGGAGUCCCUUGUAGGGGCACAGGAAGGCCCAGGUGUCUGUCCUUCCUGUCCUGUCAGGAAGGCCCCAGCCUCCCAUCCAGUAGCUAGACUUAAUGACCUGGCUGGCUGUUUCCUUAGAGAUAAACUAGACAAAUAGCAAACUAGAAUCAAAGGCUUGGAUCAUUAAAUUCGGCAGCAAUAUCAACAGUACAACAGCAGAUGGCAGGGUUGCUCUACACACUCCUGAGCCAGAGAGAGACUCAGGAGAAAUUUAAUGGCAUUUUUACUGACAGUUGAGAGUUCAUGAACCAACCCUUCAAUGCUAUCUGAUACCCAGUGUGUGGUAGGUAGGGUAAGUGUUUUGAUCCUGAAGUUACAGAAGAGGAAACAGAGCCUCUGGGAGGUUAAAUGACAUGCCCAUAUUCAGGAAUGCAAAGAGACUCUUCUAAGUAAAAGGUCAGAAUGCCUGGGUUCAAAUCCCAGCUGUGCUACUUACUGGCUCUGUGACUGUGAGCAAGUAACCUCCAUUGCCCUAUUUGUAAAAUAAGUUAAGACCAGUUCUACAGUUCUUAGGUUGCUGUAAGAAUUAAAUGAAAUAACGCAUGUGAAAUGCUUAGGACAGUGUAUAAUAUAGCACAGAGUAAGCACUCAAUAAAUGGAAACUGUUACCGCAA
Long non-coding RNA from Pteropus alecto (black flying fox), 4074 nucleotides. RefSeq lists it as uncharacterized. Lineage: Eukaryota; Metazoa; Chordata; Mammalia; Chiroptera; Pteropodidae. The record is from RefSeq and is a predicted model, not a curated record. The transcript is spliced from 2 exons.